Toxorhynchites rutilus septentrionalis is the source of this 412-nucleotide long non-coding RNA. RefSeq lists it as uncharacterized. The record is from RefSeq and is a predicted model, not a curated record. NCBI's taxonomy places the organism in Eukaryota, Metazoa, Arthropoda, Insecta, Diptera, Culicidae. The transcript is spliced from 2 exons.
UUUUUUUUACGAUAGCGAUAGUGAAGAAGAGAGCACGCUUAUUCCACAGAGGCGAGAGUUGAGGGAUAAAAGUGACUCUUUUUCGCUAAGUGAAAAUGAGUUUCGGCAGUAUAUCAUACUUAGUCGAGAAGCAUUCCAUAAUAUUUUGGAUACAACCGUGUUCCAAACAUGGCUCAACCAACUGUUUCAUCAGUGUUCAAUACAAUGAUGCCACUUCUGGAAAGAAGCUUAUGCGAAAAAUGGAUCGAAUUGGAUACAACAUCGUUUAAUGAAAUAAAGCAAUAUUUCUUCGACAAAUUCAAGAUACCCGGUGUAUUGAUGGUUCUCAUACACCCAUUUUAAGGUCUACGGAAAAUGAACAAUUCCUUUGUGAUUCCAUAGUGCUGAAAUAAAAGUAUUUUAUUUACACUCA